RNAcentral lists this transfer RNA (62 nucleotides) under Scatoglyphus polytrematus. Its description in RNAcentral is "tRNA-Lys". The record is from RNAcentral. Lineage: Eukaryota; Metazoa; Arthropoda; Arachnida; Sarcoptiformes; Acaridae.
GUAGCCUUAAGAUAUUCUAAAUCUUUAUACCUUUUAAGUAUAAAAAGCCUUUGCAGGUUAUU